AUGAUUGGCUAGCUGGCAAUAACUCACUGCCAUUGACAGGAUGGUGAGAGUAUUAUAGUACAUACUGGUACACCAGAUGUGCUGACCCAUGAGAUAUCCCCAAGGUUGGACACUCAACUGCAUAAUUUGUUGUAGUGGGGGACUGUGUUCAUGUUCUCUUC
This 161-nucleotide small nuclear RNA is filed under the name Castor canadensis (American beaver). RNAcentral describes it as "U1 spliceosomal RNA (ENSCCNG00000008392.1)". Lineage: Eukaryota; Metazoa; Chordata; Mammalia; Rodentia; Castoridae. The record is from RNAcentral.